AAUAGACUUGUACUUAUAAGAGCUGAUAACUGAGGCUGCAUGUCUCAAAACAACACAACAUCGAAGUAUACUCCUUCAUAACAGCGGCUGAGUAUCAGAUCAAAUAUUUUACACUGUUUCAGUUUGGCAAGCUUGAUCGUCAUAAUCUCGGGGGCAAAGCACUAACAAAUAAAACAAAACAAAAACCCGGAUACACGGCGCAGUCAAAACUUUGACGAUUCCCUGUGCCUUCUUUCAUCUCUCAAACUCCCGUCAAAAAUAGAUUAUACUCUUAUAGAUCUUCACCUCCUGUUAAACCUCCCACCACCGCCUCCCCUGCCUCUUCCACCACCAAAUCGCCCGCCUCCGCCCCCGCCGAAUCUCCUUCCACCACCUCCACGGCCAAACCUCGACCCACCAAAGUUACCCUUGGACUGCUCCCUCUCUUGCAAGGCUGGCAGUUGCUUCACUUCAUCAAUUGUCAACCCGGCUGCGUUCUCCGCGCCUGCAAGCAAACAUGAAGCAAUUUUGAGCAGCUGAGGUUGCAAUACCCAAUACACAAACAACGUGAAACGCAUUCGAAUGUAAAUUCAGUCAGACGUAAAUUACAACAGCACAAACCAAACAGCGUAAAAAGAGUAUACCUUGAAUGUAAUCUUGAACCUCUGCUGAAGGAACAUCAAAUACAGCGCUUGUCCCGUCAGAAGUGAGGGUUAUACCAUGUACGCUUGAAAGCCUAUCUUCUGGCAUGAACCUUUUCAAUGUACUA
Molecule: long non-coding RNA, 748 nt
Filed under: Hordeum vulgare
Lineage: Eukaryota; Viridiplantae; Streptophyta; Magnoliopsida; Poales; Poaceae
Description: long non-coding RNA (HVUL_LNC013568)
Source: RNAcentral